This 253-nucleotide long non-coding RNA is filed under the name Mytilus galloprovincialis (Mediterranean mussel). Lineage: Eukaryota; Metazoa; Mollusca; Bivalvia; Mytilida; Mytilidae. The record is from RNAcentral.
UCUUCUUUGAAAUUACUGGGCCAAAUUAAACUAAACUUGGCCACAAUCAUCAUUUGGGUAACUUGUUUAAAAAAUGUGUGGCGUGACCUGGCCAAUCAACCAAAAUGGCUCCCACGGCUAAUAAUAGAACAUCGGGGUAAAAUCCAGUUUUUGGCUUAUAACUCAAAAACCGAAGCAUUAAGAGAAAAUCUGACAGGGUUUAAUUGUUUAUCAGGUCAAGAUUUAUCUGCCCUGAUGUUUUCACAUGGAUCGG